Molecule: ribosomal RNA, 141 nt
Filed under: Conocybe rickenii
Lineage: Eukaryota; Fungi; Basidiomycota; Agaricomycetes; Agaricales; Bolbitiaceae
Description: partial 25S large subunit ribosomal RNA
Rfam family: Eukaryotic large subunit ribosomal RNA
Source: RNAcentral
GGGUGUAGAAUAAGUGGGAGCUUCGGCGCCGUUGAAAUACCACUACCUUUAUCGUCUUUUUACUUAUUCAAUGAGGCGGAGCUGGGAUUAACAGUCCCACCUUUUGGCUUUCAAGGUCUUUUACAGGCCGAUCCGGGUUGA